AACGAACGCUGGCGGCAUGCCUAACACAUGCAAGUCGAACGAGACCUUCGGGUCUAGUGGCGCACGGGUGCGUAACGCGUGGGAACCUGCCCUUAGGUUCGGAAUAACUCCCCGAAAGGGGUGCUAAUACCGGAUAAUGUCUUCGGACCAAAGAUUUAUCGCCUUUGGAUGGGCCCGCGUUGGAUUAGCUAGUUGGUAGGGUAAAAGCCUACCACGGCGACGAUCCAUAGCUGGUCUGAGAGGAUGUUCAGCCACACUGGGACUGAGACACGGCCCAGACUUCUACGGUGGGCAGCAGUGGGGAAUAUUGGACACUGGGCGAAAGCCUGAUCCAGCAAUGCCGCGUGAGUGAUGAAGGCCUGAGGGUUGUAAAGCUCUUUUACCCGGGAUGAUAAUGACAGUACCGGGAGAAUAAGCUCCGGCUAACUCCG
This 431-nucleotide ribosomal RNA is filed under the name uncultured bacterium. Its description in RNAcentral is "partial 16S ribosomal RNA". It matches the Rfam family "Bacterial small subunit ribosomal RNA", at positions 29 to 505 of the family's 1533-position model. The record is from RNAcentral.